Molecule: ribosomal RNA, 439 nt
Filed under: uncultured bacterium
Lineage: Bacteria
Description: partial 16S ribosomal RNA
Rfam family: Bacterial small subunit ribosomal RNA
Source: RNAcentral
CCUACGAGAGGCUGCAGUGGGGAAUUUUGCGCAAUGGGGGAAACCCUGACGCAGCAACGCCGCGUGCGGGACGAAGGCUCUCGGGUCGUAAACCGCUUUCAGCAGAGAAGACCACGACGGUACCUGCAGAAGAAGCUCCGGCUAACUACGUGCCAGCAGCCGCGGAAAUACGUAGGGGGCGAGCGUUAUCCGGAUUCAUUGGGGGUAGAGAUGGCGUAGGCGGGCGCCUAAGUGGAUGCUAUAACCCCGGGGCUAAACCUCGGGCCGGGUUUGGGACUGGGCGGCUAGAGUGGGGUAGAGGAAAGCGGAAUUCCCGGUGUAGCGGUGGAAUGCGGAGAUAUCGGGAGGAACACCGAUGGCGAAGGCAGCCCUCUGGGCCGUUACUGACGCUGAGGCGCGAAAGCUGGGGGAGCGAACAGGAUUAGAUACCCUAGUAGUC